UGGGGAAUCUUCCGCAAUGGGCGCAAGCCUGACGGAGCAACGCCGCGUGAGUGAAGAAGGGUUUCGACUCGUAAAGCUCUGUUGUCGGGGACGAAUGUGGAGGUUGUGAAUAACAGCUUCCAAUGACGGUACCUGACGAGGAAGCCACGGCUAACUACGUGCCAGCAGCCGCGGUAAUACGUAGGUGGCGAGCGUUGUCCGGAAUUAUUGGGCGUAAAGGGAGCGCAGGCGGGAGAUCAAGUCUAUCUUAAAAGUGCGGGGCUCAACCCCGUGAGGGGAUGGAAACUGGUCUUCUUGAGUGCAGGAGAGGAAAGCGGAAUUCCUAGUGUAGCGGUGAAAUGCGUAGAUAUUAGGAGGAA
RNAcentral lists this ribosomal RNA (359 nucleotides) under uncultured Mitsuokella sp. RNAcentral describes it as "bacterial SSU rRNA". It matches the Rfam family "Bacterial small subunit ribosomal RNA", at positions 355 to 706 of the family's 1533-position model. The record is from RNAcentral. Lineage: Bacteria; Bacillati; Bacillota; Negativicutes; Selenomonadales; Selenomonadaceae.